RNAcentral lists this ribosomal RNA (459 nucleotides) under uncultured Lactobacillus sp. RNAcentral's name for it is "partial 16S ribosomal RNA". It matches the Rfam family "Bacterial small subunit ribosomal RNA", at positions 341 to 792 of the family's 1533-position model. Lineage: Bacteria; Bacillati; Bacillota; Bacilli; Lactobacillales; Lactobacillaceae. The record is from RNAcentral.
ACGGAAGGCAGCAGUAGGGAAUCUUCCACAAUGGACGAAAGUCUGAUGGAGCAACGCCGCGUGAAUGAAGAAGGCCUUCGGGUCGUAAAAUUCUGUUGUCAGAGAAGAACGUGCGUGAGAGUAACUGUUCACGUAUUGACGGUAUCUGACCAGAAAGCCACGGCUAACUACGUGCCAGCAGCCGCGGUAAUACGUAGGUGGCAAGCGUUGUCCGGAUUUAUUGGGCGUAAAGGGAACGCAGGCGGUCUUUUAAGUCUGAUGUGAAAGCCUUCGGCUUAACCGAAGUAGUGCAUUGGAAACUGGAAGACUUGAGUGCAGAAGAGGAGAGUGGAACUCCAUGUGUAGCGGUGAAAUGCGUAGAUAUAUGGAAGAACACCAGUGGCGAAAGCGGCUCUCUGGUCUGUAACUGACGCUGAGGUUCGAAAGCGUGGGUAGCAAACAGGAUUAGAUACCCUGGUA